RNAcentral lists this ribosomal RNA (427 nucleotides) under uncultured bacterium. Its description in RNAcentral is "partial 16S ribosomal RNA". It matches the Rfam family "Bacterial small subunit ribosomal RNA", at positions 355 to 774 of the family's 1533-position model. The record is from RNAcentral.
UGGGGAAUAUUGCACAAUGGGCGCAAGCCUGAUGCAGCCAUGCCGCGUGUAUGAAGAAGGCCUUCGGGUUGUAAAGUACUUUCAGCGGGGAGGAAGGCGAUAAGGUUAAUAACCUUGUCGAUUGACGUUACCCGCAGAAGAAGCACCGGCUAACUCCGUGCCAGCAGCCGCGGUAAUACGGAGGGUGCAAGCGUUAAUCGGAAUUACUGGGCGUAAAGCGCACGCCGGCGGUCUGUCAAGUCGGAUGUGAAAUCCCCGGGCUCAACCUGGGAACUGCAUUCGAAACUGGCAGGCUAGAGUCUUGUAGAGGGGGGUAGAAUUCCAGGUGUAGCGGUGAAAUGCGUAGAGAUCUGGAGGAAUACCGGUGGCGAAGGCGGCCCCCUGGACAAAGACUGACGCUCAGGUGCGAAAGCGUGGGGAGCAAACA